AGUUGCAAUAAAAUAACUAUUAAAUUAUUGAAGGAUUAAUUAGCAAUUAGAUUGCUAAUGAACUCAAUUUGAUUGAGUAAUUGGGCUUAGGUUGAGCCAAAUUGAAUAGGAUUCAAUUUGGGCUGCAUCAGGGUUUGACCUAAUUGGAUUGGGUUCAACCCAAGUAGAUUGAGUUUGACCCAAUUGAUGGAACUUGAUUGAUAGUCAACUUUAAAGACCACGCAAUAGCACGUAUCUAGUAAGAUAGUGAUUACGGGUAUCGAUCUACAGGGAUUGGGGUAUAGUUGUUUUCUUAAAAAUAAAAAUAUUUAAAAGGAUGAAUUUGUGAAGACUAUUAAACUAAGCAAUUUAAUAAAAGAAAAUGCAAUUAAAGGGAUAUCAGUUUAAGGAAAUCUAGGGCAAGAAAUUCACCACUAACAUCGGAACAAGGAUUAUUUGUAUUUUAAUUCAUUCUUGGAUUAACAUGCAAAUUGGCUACAAGCCUAAUAAGCAUUUGAAUAAAAUCUCACAAAAGUAAUUUAGGCAUAAUCCAUCUUUAGUUAGCAUGAAAUGUCUACCCUAAUUUAAGGUGGCAACACAUCGCAUCUUCCUUAAGCAUGGACUAUCUUAUUUUUACUUCAAUGACCAUGAAGAACAGUUGUAUAAACUUCAUAUUUAAAAUCACAGAAAUUAAACAUGAAAUAAAAGAAGAUAUUCAUUAAAAAUAAUAAGUUCAUACAACUCCAAGAAUAUAAAAUUAAAAAUAUAAAACCCGUGUCCCUUUGUUAGGGCUGCAUCCAGCUCUAGAGAGAAGAUCAGCCUUCCAUGGAGUGGUAGAUGGN
RNAcentral lists this long non-coding RNA (821 nucleotides) under Phoenix dactylifera (date palm). RNAcentral's name for it is "long non-coding RNA (PDAC_LNC010363)". The record is from RNAcentral. Lineage: Eukaryota; Viridiplantae; Streptophyta; Magnoliopsida; Arecales; Arecaceae.